AUUGAACGCUGGCGGAAUGCUUUACACAUGCAAGUCGAGCGGCAGCGCGGCCUUCGGGCUGGCGGCGAGCGGCGAACGGGUGAGUAAUGCAUCGGAACAUGCCCAGUCGUGGGGGAUAACACUUCGAAAGAAGUGCUAAUACCGCAUACGUCCUGAGGGGGAAAGCGGGGGAUCGCAAGACCUCGCGCGAUUGGAGUGGCCGAUGUCAGAUUAGCUAGUUGGUGGGGUAAAGGCCUACCAAGGCGACGAUCUGUAGCUGGUCUGAGAGGAUGAUCAGCCACACUGGGACUGAGACACGGCCCAGACUCCUACGGGAGGCAGCAGUGGGGAAUUUUGGACAAUGGGGGCAACCCUGAUCCAGCCAGUCCGCGUGAGUGAAGAAGGCCUUCGGGUUGUAAAGCUCUUUCGGCAGGAACGAAACGGUGGGCUCUAACAUAGUCCGCUAAUGACGGUACCUGAAGAAGAAGCACCGGCUAACUACGUG
This 484-nucleotide ribosomal RNA is filed under the name uncultured bacterium. Its description in RNAcentral is "partial 16S ribosomal RNA". It matches the Rfam family "Bacterial small subunit ribosomal RNA", at positions 29 to 507 of the family's 1533-position model. The record is from RNAcentral.